GAGUUUGAUCUUGGCUCAGAUUGAACGCUGGCGGCAGUCCUAACACAUGCAAGUCGGGCGGUAGAGAGAAGCUUGCUUCUCUUGAGAGCGGCGGACGGGUGAGUAAUGCCUAGGAAUCUGCCUGGUAGUGGGGGAUAACGCUCGGAAACGGACGCUAAUACCGCAUACGUCCUACGGGAGAAAGCAGGGGACCUUCGGGCCUUGCGCUAUCAGAUGAGCCUAGGUCGGAUUAGCUAGUUGGUGAGGUAAUGGCUCACCAAGGCGACGAUCCGUAACUGGUCUGAGAGGAUGAUCAGUCACACUGGAACUGAGACACGGUCCAGACUCCUACGGGAGGCAGCAGUGGGGAAUAUUGGACAAUGGGCGAAAGCCUGAUCCAGCCAUGCCGCGUGUGUGAAGAAGGUCUUCGGAUUGUAAAGCACUUUAAGUUGGGAGGAAGGGCAGUAAAUUAAUACUUUGCUGUUUUGACGUUACCGACAGAAUAAGCACCGGCUAACUCUGUGCCAGCAGCCG
Molecule: ribosomal RNA, 513 nt
Filed under: uncultured bacterium
Lineage: Bacteria
Description: bacterial SSU rRNA
Rfam family: Bacterial small subunit ribosomal RNA
Source: RNAcentral